GAUGAACGCUGGCGGCGUGCCUAAUACAUGCCAGUCGAGCGAACGGACGAGAAGCUUGCUUCUCUGAUGUUAGCGGCGGACGGGUGAGUAACACGUGGAUAACCUACCUAUAAGACUGGGAUAACUUCGGGAAACCGGAGCUAAUACCGGAUAAUAUUUUGAACCGCAUGGUUCAAAAGUGAAAGACGGUCUUGCUGUCACUUAUAGAUGGAUCCGCGCUGCAUUAGCUAGUUGGUAAGGUAACGGCUUACCAAGGCAACGAUGCAUAGCCGACCUGAGAGGGUGAUCGGCCACACUGGAACUGAGACACGGUCCAGACUCCUACGGGAGGCAGCAGUAGGGAAUCUACCGCAAUGGGCGAAAGCCUGACGGAGCAACGCCGCGUGAGUGAUGAAGGUCUGCGGAUCGUAAAACUCUGUUAUUGGGAAGAACAUAUGUGUAAGUAACUGUGCACAUCUUGACGGUACCUAAUCAGAAAGCCACGGCUAACUACGUG
RNAcentral lists this ribosomal RNA (496 nucleotides) under uncultured bacterium. RNAcentral's name for it is "partial 16S ribosomal RNA". It matches the Rfam family "Bacterial small subunit ribosomal RNA", at positions 28 to 507 of the family's 1533-position model. The record is from RNAcentral.